Molecule: long non-coding RNA, 445 nt
Organism: Uranotaenia lowii
Lineage: Eukaryota; Metazoa; Arthropoda; Insecta; Diptera; Culicidae
Exons: 3
Source: RefSeq, a predicted model, not a curated record
UAAAAGUUUAUAAUAACAAAAUAAUAACAAGUUACACCGAAUUACGAACGAAAAGCCGUAAAACCACGUGAAAUGUUACAUAGAAGAAACACUGAAACAGAUUAAAAACAAAAUACGAAGAAAAAGCUUUGCAUCGACCUCGACAGGUGGCGGUUGUGGCCAACACAAAUAACCACGCUAAAUACGGACAGAAAAGUAAGACGCAUCGGGUGGACAUAACCUCAAUCCAGUCUACCUAACAACAACCGCACCAACUCGGACCUGUAUCAGCUAUUGUUGAUUCGACACCGUUUCGGGACGCCGAAAUCGGUGAGAAUCUACCAGAACAAUCAACCGGGUCGAUAAGGAAAGCUUCAAAGAUCGCAACGCAAACAACUAACCAGAAACCUACACCUGUAAAACCGCAAGUAUAAGAGCAAACGUGAUGUUGAGUUUAGGGUUAUUG